Molecule: unclassified non-coding RNA, 198 nt
Filed under: Panellus ringens
Lineage: Eukaryota; Fungi; Basidiomycota; Agaricomycetes; Agaricales; Mycenaceae
Description: partial internal transcribed spacer 2
Source: RNAcentral
AAUUCUCAAACCUCAAUCAGUUUUCGAACUGGUCUGAGGCUUUGGACUAUGGAGGCUUUUGCUGGACUCUCAGAGAUCAGCUCCUCUCAAAUGCAUUAGCGGUUACUGAUCCCAUUCAUUGGUGUGAUAAUUAUCUAUGCCAUGGGUGGUUUCUCGUGUAUCAGCUUCUAACCGUCCUUUCAGGACAAUCUAUUGACU